RNAcentral lists this ribosomal RNA (466 nucleotides) under uncultured bacterium. RNAcentral describes it as "bacterial SSU rRNA". It matches the Rfam family "Bacterial small subunit ribosomal RNA", at positions 917 to 1382 of the family's 1533-position model. The record is from RNAcentral.
GGGCCCGCACAAGCGGUGGAGCAUGUGGUUUAAUUCGACGCAACGCGCAGAACCUUACCAGCCCUUGACAUGUCCAGGACCGGUCGCAGAGAUGUGGCCUUCUCUUCGGAGCCUGGAGCACAGGUGCUGCAUGGCUGUCGUCAGCUCGUGUCGUGAGAUGUUGGGUUAAGUCCCGCAACGAGCGCAACCCCCGUCCUUAGUUGCUACCAUUUAGUUGAGCACUCUAAGGAGACUGCCGGUGAUAAGCCGCGAGGAAGGUGGGGAUGACGUCAAGUCCUCAUGGCCCUUACGGGCUGGGCUACACACGUGCUACAAUGGCGGUGACAAUGGGAUGCGAAGACGCAAGUCCUAGCAAAUCUCAAAAAGCCGUCUCAGUUCGGAUUGGGCUCUGCAACUCGAGCCCAUGAAGUUGGAAUCGCUAGUAAUCGUGGAUCAGCACGCCACGGUGAAUACGUUCCCGGGCCUU